GGUCACGUUACAAAAUUAGCUCUUUAAUUAUUAUUAUAAUUAUUUUUCCUCGGUCUCCAUUUAAAUUCUCUAAUUUCUCGUAUAGGACUACUGGGGUGACGUCAUACCUCGGUGAUGGAACGUACUCCACCUAUCGAGAAUGAUUUCGUUUUCUGAGAGAGUUUGACGUUUACCUUGGCGGAGAAGCGCCUCUCGUUCUUUACUUGACUGUUGGCUGUUGUGUCGAAUAGAGGUACCAUAUAGAAUGGCGGAUGAUUUCAUCCAACUUAUUUUAUAACAUCAAGCAAUUUAAAGUAAAGUAAAAAGUUACCACCAAGGAUUGUCUGGAGUGAGGAGACAUGUGGGUGACAACUCCUGUUGGAGUCUAAAUAGGAAUCAUUCGCCAUUUGGGAGAAACCCUACCAUGAAGUCAUAGACCUUAUUUGACCACCUAGAGAAACCACUACAGCCACAGUCAAGUCACCAUUGGGAAUAUGUCUAAUUGGGAGCAAGCUAUGGGAGCGUUCCAGCUCAAUUUUCGUCUUGACACCUGGGCCUAUAGGAGUCAUGGGGUCGCACCAUCCUGGUGCAUCAUUUUCUAGGAUGCAACCGCAACCUCGUUUGGGAACAUUUAGUGAGGUGUUUUAGUAACUAUUGGUUUUUUUUUAUAUUUCAGACAAUCGUUUAAAUACACUAUGUUUUUUUUCCAGAUUUAGGUUACCUCUGGUUUUUUUUUUGACAUAUUUGUAUAUUAGAUUAUUUGGUUCCCAAACUUUGUAUCUACGGUAACUUCUUGUGCACAGGAAUAAGCCUAGAGAAAAUUAGGUUUUUAAUACUUUAUUAUUGCUUUGAUAUUGGUUUAUGUAAUUCGGGUAAAUUUAUUUUUUAAUAUUACUAGCUUGUUUCCCAAAUAUUUUACUGUUAUUCGCUUUAUUCCAUUUGUUCGGUUAAUUUAGGUCGUCGUCGGUAUUUAUCUCAACUUCAUUUCUACUUUAGUCAAUUGUAUAUUUAACUUUAUUUAUUCAUUAUUGUAUUUUCCCUUAGUGAGGCUUGGGCCUAUUUAUUUGUAGUAUUUUCAUCUUUGUCAGUUUCUUUUAGUUGUACGUAGCAGGCGUACUAUAACCAUUUGGUAGAAGACUUAUGUAAUUUUGUACCCUAUAUGUAAGUAAGAGGUACUAAUACCUGUAAUUUUGUAACAGAUAACAUUAUUGUUGUUAUCUUAGAGAUGACUUUUUGUAUAACUUAUGUCAUUUUAGAGUCACAUGAUAUACACUUUGUGUAACUCAGAGAUUGUCAAAAAUCUAGUAGUUAUUUUUAAUAAAUAUGUAUUUAUUUUGUA
Diabrotica virgifera virgifera (western corn rootworm) is the source of this 1318-nucleotide long non-coding RNA. RefSeq lists it as uncharacterized. The transcript has 2 exons. NCBI's taxonomy places the organism in Eukaryota, Metazoa, Arthropoda, Insecta, Coleoptera, Chrysomelidae. The record is from RefSeq and is a predicted model, not a curated record.